CUCUCAUCUUUAACGAAGGCUAAAAGACAUUUAUAACCUUUUGAUUAACUUUGACAAAAAAACACAUAUGGUUAACUAAACUAAAUUUAAAACAUCAACUCUAAACCCUAAAUCAUCAACUCUGACCCUAAACCAUGAAACAUCAACUCUAAACCCUAAACCCUAAACCUUCAAAUCUAAACCCUAAAACAUCAAUUCUAAACCCUAAACGUAAACCUUAAACUCUAAAUCUAAACUUAGAACAUCAACUUUAAACCCAAAAUCAUCAACUCUAAACACUAAACCUUGAAAAAUCAACUCUAAACCCUAAACCGCGAAAUAUCAACUCUAAACCCUAAACCCUAAACCUUCAAAUCUAAACCC
Molecule: long non-coding RNA, 363 nt
Filed under: Brassica napus (rape)
Lineage: Eukaryota; Viridiplantae; Streptophyta; Magnoliopsida; Brassicales; Brassicaceae
Description: long non-coding RNA (BNAP_LNC014395)
Source: RNAcentral